Long non-coding RNA from Phyllostomus hastatus (greater spear-nosed bat), 2351 nucleotides. RefSeq lists it as uncharacterized. The record is from RefSeq and is a predicted model, not a curated record. The transcript has 3 exons. Lineage: Eukaryota; Metazoa; Chordata; Mammalia; Chiroptera; Phyllostomidae.
CCUCUCAUUCGACCAACGGGCACUGGUUGGGUGGCUGGCCCGCCCCAGCAAGGCACUGAACCCAGAUACCUCGGGAGGCAGCGGGAGGGAUGAAGUCUGGGCCCUGCUCUGCCCGGGUGUUAUCCCACUUUGCUACACUCUAACGGGCCAAUGCGGUCAACCGCUCUGGUCUCAGUUUCUUCAUCUGUACAAUGGGGUUAAUAGUGCUUCCUUUCCCAGGGUUGCUAGGGGGAAUAAUGGAUUGAUGAUGGUGCCUGAGACAUGAUGAGCACAACACGGGCACUAGUUGGUAUCCGCAGUGAUGAGCUGUUCUGGAAAGGGUCUGCUCACAAGUCUUCCUUCUCUCCCUGUGCUUACCUGUGCUCGCUGGGAUGAGGGGUGUGCCCCUCCCCCCACGCAAUGGCUGUGGAGCCAUAGGACUCAGUUUGGCCAGUGGGAGAUGGGAGGAAGUGACAGUGAGCCAGUUCCCAGUGGGUGAUGGCCUUCAGAGAUGCCACAUGUCUCAGCUCCCUUGUGCUUUGUCCAUCCACCCCGGGGAGCCCUGGCCCUGCAGCAGCCUCUGUCCCCAGAGUGAGAGACACAAGCAGCAGACCAAACCCACCUGAAUCCUAACAGAGUUGCAGGCUCAUGGGUAAGAAAAAUACGUGGUCUUGUAAGCCACAGAGAUCCGGGAGGGGGCGGUUUGUUUCCCAGCAUUAUCACAGAAGCUGCUGACUGAUGCACACACUAAACAAACUGUCACACACGCAGAGACCGCACUGCGACGUGCAGCGGUGCAAGGACUCCCAGGAGGCCGUGGGAAUGCAGAAGGCACUCGUCCCAGCCCUGAGAGGCAAGAGAGGUGGAGCGUUCCCAGAGAAGAGUCCUGAGCACCUGUUCCCUCCCCUCCCUUCUUUGCUGGACGAGCACAUUCUGAACACUUAUUGUGGGCCAGGCCUGGGCUGGGUGCUGGGCACAGACCCAGUAGGGAAUAAGACAGGGUCUGUUUUCAGGGAGUUCAAGUUCAGAAGUCUCGUGUGGGACAAGGACAACACUCGAGAACGGGUCAUACCUGCAGGUAACCCCUACCUGCGCCUCUCCCCACUUACAGACAAUGGGCCAGGCCCUGUCUCUCCAGCGCUUCUCCUGGAUUGCCGCCCCGUCUUAAUCCUCAGACAAACCUGCCAGGGGACACUCCUGGACAUUUGUAGCCAAAAGAAGACAGGUGAGAACUUCAGGCUCUUCCUGCUGCCUGGGUGGGGGCUGCUGCUUCGGACAGCCGACAGGUCUCACAUGUGAUCUGACCACCCUAACCUGGGCCGUUCCCCCCGCCCCAGGCUCAUUUUCAACCAGGAAGGUCUCCAGGUGCAACACAGAGACAGAAGCAGAACCAAAGCCUCCUGCUUCUCUGCGCUGAGCAUGUCUGGCUCUCCCGGAAGGCUGACUGUGAAGACACCACGGAAGUCACAGUGCAGGCCAGUGACCUUCAGCCCAUGGGCUGUAAGAACUUUCAAACCAGGCAGUACCCAACUAGUCAGGGGCACUGACCUCUUUUGCCUUAGACUGUCAAAUUUAAAAAAGAAAUGACAACAGCCAACACAACAGUAGCCGUCUGGUGUGAAGGAGUCAAAAUUAUACCUAUUUUUUGCCAGAUCAGCAAAGAAUGCCUUUUUGGGUGUGGUGCAGAAUCUCGGUCAGUAGUUGACGUGAGCCGUGAGAUGAUCAAGGUCGAGGGUCACUGGUCCCAGGGUCCCCCCUGAAUCUAACGAGGACCCCAGCCCACAAGUCAGUGUUCUCAGACCCCCCAGAGGCACAGAAAUAACCACUGGGACCCUGCCCCUGACACACGCUGCCGUGAGCAGAGUCCUGGGGCCACCAGUCCUGUCGCCGAGGGCACGACCGAGCCUCCACCGGAGUCGCACUUGGAGCCGCGGACUCCAGCGGCCGUCACCUUCCGCUUGGUGCGACGCGGCCACGCCACAGAGGCUGACGGCACUCCCCAGGGCCGGGCGUCUUUGGUGCCACGCCGAUUUUUACAGUCGGCCAGAUCAGAUUUUGUUCUCGUUUCCGGGAAGCCUGAUUUAUUGAAAACUUGACUCUGGUUCCCUUAUCCGAAAUACCGUCGGCCUGCCCUCCCGGGCAGCGCUGGACACCAUCACGGGGGACGCAGACGACAGAGGUGCGGUGGUGCACCAAGGUCGGACACCGUUCGCACACUCGGUUCUGUGGUUGGAAACUGCUUCACUCAGGUAGCAAAUGGUUCUGAAUGGUGAAAACACAGUCAUUUGCCCUGGCUGGCAUAGCUCAAGUGGACUGAGCGCAGGCUGCAAACCAGGCAUCACAGGUUCGAUUCCCAGUCAGGGCACAUGCCU